This 492-nucleotide ribosomal RNA is filed under the name uncultured bacterium. RNAcentral's name for it is "partial 16S ribosomal RNA". It matches the Rfam family "Bacterial small subunit ribosomal RNA", at positions 28 to 507 of the family's 1533-position model. The record is from RNAcentral.
GAUGAACGCUAGCUACAGGCUUAACACAUGCAAGUCGAGGGGAAACGGCAUCGAAAGCUUGCUUUUGAUGGGCGUCGACCGGCGCACGGGUGGGUAACGCGUAUCCAACCUGCCCAUCACUUGGGAAUAACCUUGCGAAAGUAAGACUAAUGCCCAAUGACAUCCCACGAAGGCAUCCGAAUGGGAUUAAAGAUUUAUCGGUGAUGGAUGGGGAUGCGUCUGAUUAGCUUGUUGGCGGGGUGACGGCCCACCAAGGCAACGAUCAGUAGGGGUUCUGAGAGGAAGGUCCCCCACAUUGGAACUGAGACACGGUCCAAACUCCUACGGGAGGCAGCAGUGAGGAAUAUUGGUCAAUGGGCGAGAGCCUGAACCAGCCAAGUAGCGUGCAGGAUGACGGCCCUAUGGGUUGUAAACUGCUUUUAGAAGGGAAUAAAGUGGGUCACGUGUGACUUUUUGCAUGUACCUUAUGAAUAAGGACCGGCUAAUUCCGUG